This is a long non-coding RNA of Homo sapiens (human), 1313 nucleotides long. Ensembl annotates it as H19 imprinted maternally expressed transcript. Its record names the gene H19. Lineage: Eukaryota; Metazoa; Chordata; Mammalia; Primates; Hominidae. The record is from Ensembl.
GGCAGGAACAGGGAUCCUGGGAGCCUGCCAAGCAGAGCGCACAGUGUUCCUGGAGUCUCGCUGCCCAGAUGCCACGGAAUCAGUUGAAGGUUUGAGGUGCUAAUUCAGGAGCUUAAGAUGCUAAAGAGCUGGGAGCGCCACUGCUGCUUUAUUCUCUGGUCCAGGAUCCUUGUGUUGCUGGAGAUAAUCCAUUAUCGUGGGUGCAGCAGACACCCUGCGGCUUGUGGACUCGGACGUGGCAGCUGGUUGGACGAGGGGAGCUGGUGGGCAGGGUUUGAUCCCAGGGCCUGGGCAACGGAGGUGUAGCUGGCAGCAGCGGGCAGCCAGGUCUCCAGCUGGGGUGGACGUGCCCACCAGCUGCCGAAGGCCAAGACGCCAGGUCCGGUGGACGUGACAAGCAGGACAUGACAUGGUCCGGUGUGACGGCGAGGACAGAGGAGGCGCGUCCGGCCUUCCUGAACACCUUAGGCUGGUGGGGCUGCGGCAAGAAGCGGGUCUGUUUCUUUACUUCCUCCACGGAGUCGGCACACUAUGGCUGCCCUCUGGGCUCCCAGAACCCACAACAUGAAAGAAAUGGUGCUACCCAGCUCAAGCCUGGGCCUUUGAAUCCGGACACAAAACCCUCUAGCUUGGAAAUGAAUAUGCUGCACUUUACAACCACUGCACUACCUGACUCAGGAAUCGGCUCUGGAAGGUGAAGCUAGAGGAACCAGACCUCAUCAGCCCAACAUCAAAGACACCAUCGGAACAGCAGCGCCCGCAGCACCCACCCCGCACCGGCGACUCCAUCUUCAUGGCCACCCCCUGCGGCGGACGGUUGACCACCAGCCACCACAUCAUCCCAGAGCUGAGCUCCUCCAGCGGGAUGACGCCGUCCCCACCACCUCCCUCUUCUUCUUUUUCAUCCUUCUGUCUCUUUGUUUCUGAGCUUUCCUGUCUUUCCUUUUUUCUGAGAGAUUCAAAGCCUCCACGACUCUGUUUCCCCCGUCCCUUCUGAAUUUAAUUUGCACUAAGUCAUUUGCACUGGUUGGAGUUGUGGAGACGGCCUUGAGUCUCAGUACGAGUGUGCGUGAGUGUGAGCCACCUUGGCAAGUGCCUGUGCAGGGCCCGGCCGCCCUCCAUCUGGGCCGGGUGACUGGGCGCCGGCUGUGUGCCCGAGGCCUCACCCUGCCCUCGCCUAGUCUGGAAGCUCCGACCGACAUCACGGAGCAGCCUUCAAGCAUUCCAUUACGCCCCAUCUCGCUCUGUGCCCCUCCCCACCAGGGCUUCAGCAGGAGCCCUGGACUCAUCAUCAAUAAACACUGUUACAGCAA